GACGAACGCUGGCGGCGUGCUUAACACAUGCAAGUCGAACGGAAAGGCCUCUUUCGGGGGGUACUCGAGUGGCGAACGGGUGAGUAACACGUGAGUAACCUGCCCUUGACUUUGGGAUAACUUCAGGAAACUGGGGCUAAUACCGGAUAGGAGCUCCUGCUGCAUGGUGGGGGUUGGAAAGUUUCGGCGGUUGGGGAUGGACUCGCGGCUUAUUAGCUUGUUGGUGGGGUAGUGGCUUACCAAGGCUUUGACGGGUAGCCGGCCUGGGAGGGUGACCGGCCACCUUGGGACUGAGAUACGGCCCAGACUCCUACGGGAGGCAGCAGUGGGGAAUAUUGCACAAUGGGUGGAAGCCUGAUGCAGCAACGCCGUGUGCGGGAUGACGGCCUUCGGGUUGUAAACCGCUUUCGCUCAUGACGAAGCUUUGUGUGACGGUAGUGGGUAAAGAAGCACCGGCUAACUACGUG
RNAcentral lists this ribosomal RNA (467 nucleotides) under uncultured bacterium. RNAcentral's name for it is "partial 16S ribosomal RNA". It matches the Rfam family "Bacterial small subunit ribosomal RNA", at positions 28 to 507 of the family's 1533-position model. The record is from RNAcentral.